This 499-nucleotide ribosomal RNA is filed under the name uncultured bacterium. RNAcentral's name for it is "partial 16S ribosomal RNA". It matches the Rfam family "Bacterial small subunit ribosomal RNA", at positions 29 to 523 of the family's 1533-position model. The record is from RNAcentral.
AUUGAACGCUGGCGGCAUGCCUUACACAUGCAAGUCGAACGGCAGCACGGGAGCAAUCCUGGUGGCGAGUGGCGAACGGGUGAGUAAUGUAUCGGAACGUGCCCAGUCGUGGGGGAUAACGUAGCGAAAGCUACGCUAAUACCGCAUACGAUCUGUGGAUGAAAGCGGGGGACCGUAAGGCCUCGCGCGAUUGGAGCGGCCGAGAUCAGAUUAGGUAGUUGGUGGGGUAAAGGCCUACCAAGCCGACGAUCUGUAGCUGGUCUGGGAGGACGACACGACGCACUGGGACUAAGACACGGCCCAGACUCCUACGGGAGGCAGCAGUGGGGAAUUUUGGACAAUGGGCGCAAGCCUGAUCAGCAAUGCCGCGUGCAGGAUGACGGCCUUCGGGUUGUAAACUGCUUUUGUACGGUGCGAAAAGGCUCUCUCUAAUACAGGGGGCUCAUGACGGUACCGUAAGAAUAAGCACCGGCUAACUACGUGCCAGCCGCCGCGGUAA